Astatotilapia calliptera (eastern happy) is the source of this 666-nucleotide long non-coding RNA. The record is from Ensembl. Lineage: Eukaryota; Metazoa; Chordata; Actinopteri; Cichliformes; Cichlidae.
AAAACCAAUGUUGAAACAACAUUGAAAUACUGAUGAAACCUGACACUGACAUUGAAAUAACAUUGAUUCACUGUUGUUCUGUCAUCGUUGAUUGUUGAUCUAUUUAUAGUUGACAAGGUGACAACAAUCACGUUGAAAAACCAUCGAUUUAUGGUUGAGCGGGAAAUUAAAGCUGCUACCACUUGGACUAUUCCGCAGCACCCCUAUCACAUUGGUACAUCCCUCCAGGUAACCAUUGUCUUGUACAGUAGAGCGGGACAUUAGAUUUACUCUCAGCGGAAUUGACCGGAGAAGGCAUCAGUUCAUGCACUGCACUGGCCUGCAGCACGAUUAGUAUAAGACAGGGCAAAAAAGGACUCCAAAUUAAAAAAAAGAUAAAAAUGAAAGACUGGUGCAUUGUGCAGUUUAGCACUGGUGGUACAGAAAUAGUCCCUAGAUCAAGGAUAAAUGGGGAGAAAUUGUCAUGGCCUCCAUAUCCUCCAUGAGACACAUUCAGGAUCCACGAUGCAGUAAAGAGGAGAGUUCAUCCUGGUGCAACAUGGCUCACCUAUGCACCAGUCCGACUUCUAAUAAGCCAUGACACAUUUCACGAAGCAGAACGCAGUCUUCAGAAAUAUCUAAGUGAACACUGUGACACGUCUGACCUUCAGUCCGAAGCUGAAACUC